Molecule: ribosomal RNA, 497 nt
Filed under: uncultured bacterium
Lineage: Bacteria
Description: partial 16S ribosomal RNA
Rfam family: Bacterial small subunit ribosomal RNA
Source: RNAcentral
GAUGAACGCUGGCGGCGUGCCUAAUACAUGCAAGUCGAGCGGACGGACGAGUAGCUUGCUUCGCUUAUGUUACCGGCGGACGGGUGAGUAACACGUGGAUAACCUCUCUAUAAGAAUGGGAUAACUUCGGGAAACCUUAGCUAAUACCGGAUAAUAUUUUGAACCGCAUGGUUCAAACGUGAAAGACGGUCUUGCUGUCCCUUAUAGAUGGAUCCGCGCUGCAUUAGCUAGUUGGUAAGGUAACGGCUUACCAAGGCAACGAUGCAUAGCCGACCUGAGAGGGUGAUCGGCCACACUGGAACUUAGACACGGUCCAGACUCCUACGGGAGGCAGCAGUAGGGAAUCUUCCGCAAUGGGCGAAAGCCUGACGCAGCAACGCCGCGUGAGUGAUGAAGGUCUUCGGAUCGUAAAACUCUGUUAUUAGGGAAGAACAUAUGUGAAAGGAACCGUGGACAUCUUGACGGUACCUAAAGAAAAAGCAACGGCUAACUACGUG